CACGAUACAGCUGCAUGCGGCGGUUCUGUGCUGUUGACGAAGAACGCUAGACGUUAGUUAUCCGUAAGCUUCCGUCCGGUGCAGCUCGAGACGGAUUUUUGACGUCUGUUACGGUUCGGUGUUCGGUCGUUGAGACACGCGUGCCGUAAAAGUGUGUCGUAGUGUCGUACCCGCAAGUUGGGCAAGCUGACGUACCGCGUGUCGAUUUUGCCAACCGAACGAAAGGGGUGAGCGGAGAAAUUCGAAAAAAAAAAAAUUCGUGACGCUGUGACAGAUAUUGUGCAAAGUGUGCUUAUGCAUUGAUUUCCGAAGAAGAAUCGGCAGUGCCUCAGCUUGUUUGAUGUGAAGUAACGAGCAAAGUCCCGCAGGAAAGCCGCUCGAACAGUCAAGUGGUCCACUUCUGUGAAGACGGUUCCAAUGUUGACCACCGUACACGAUGGUAUGUUGGUUAGGUUUUUGCAGAUUGCAUAACAAGCGGACAGGUGACUGCUCUCCGCGGUGGUGGUGGUGGUGCUGGUAGUAUCCGUUGCGUACAGUGUGGUAUAUAGUUCGCCGGCUCGGAUGUGUACCCGGUUCGAAUAUUCCGGCAUGUCCUACGACCACUUCGCUACACAAGCUCCCUAUCAAUCAACCGGUACAUUCGGUGUUGCUCUACUAUCAACCUUGGACGGCGCCCUCCACACCUCCACACGAUGACUUGCCGGGGGUCUCUCUAUAGCCUUCUCUUUCGAUGUUUCCUGCAGUGUUUUGGGGCGGUACGUGCCUAAGGAUUGUUUGCCCGAGUGACGCAGGAACUGACCGUGCUGCGUUGAAGAAGAAGAAGAGGAAAAAAAGUUCUGUGCACCGAGUUGGUGGAAGCUGUUUUGCGACAGUGAAUGUGUAACGCCUGCUCCGUGUAACGCCACCCGAGAUAUAUAGCGCAAAUAUUGAAGGCAUUGUGGAAUGAAUAAAAAAAGUGUAAAAUAGUAUCCGCAAUAGUGCGCCGUAAGUGUCUAUAGCAAGUCGAGUGGAGUUGUGAUAAUUCCGUGUGAAUAUAUCGGGCCACCGGCGGUGUAAGGGAGUGUGGAUGUGUAUGAACAGUUUCAUCUUCACCUCCCAAUUCUUCGUAACCGGUUCCGUUUUGUUGGGCAUUAUCACUCUUUUGUUGUUUUCUAUCAAAGUCGGACAUUCGGUAUAGUAUCUUCGCUGAUAGAAAGGUCGUGCAGGCAUCAUCUCGCUUCAUACCAACGGAUCCACCUGUUUGACACGCCUGCCAUCAACACAUAGUACACUGAGAGUUCUUCAUUCUUCCGAACUAGAAGGU
This is a long non-coding RNA of Anopheles funestus (African malaria mosquito), 1303 nucleotides long. RefSeq lists it as uncharacterized. Lineage: Eukaryota; Metazoa; Arthropoda; Insecta; Diptera; Culicidae. The record is from RefSeq and is a predicted model, not a curated record. The transcript is spliced from 3 exons.